CUUGACGGAGCCCAGCCACAGCGGCCGGUCGGCGGGUCGGCGCUGCCCGUACGUGGCCAGCAGGGCGUGGGCUUC
RNAcentral lists this antisense RNA (75 nucleotides) under Streptomyces bingchenggensis BCW-1. RNAcentral's name for it is "ASpks TB sRNA". It matches the Rfam family "ASpks TB sRNA". The record is from Rfam by way of RNAcentral. Lineage: Bacteria; Bacillati; Actinomycetota; Actinomycetes; Kitasatosporales; Streptomycetaceae.